CUAGAAACAGCAGCCACAACAUGGUGAACAACAGUUUGUCGUAGACAAAACUGCACAAGGUUGUGGCUGAGAACCAGAACCAUUCUUUACUUAAAGCAAUGGAUUUUGGAAACAAUGGUCAGGGACUAGCAGUUUUAAGGCUAAAGGAGGAGCAGAUAAGAGUGUAAUCCCCCACCUCUUAAAGCAGCCAGGGUCUGGCCAUUCAUUGGUAUGAAAAUGCACAAGGGUGGAAUAAAUAACGCAGGUGAAAUUGAAGGAUAAAUCUUGGUGAAGCAUAAUAUAAUUACCCAGUUUUGAACGUUGGAAUUUAUAAGUA
This 316-nucleotide long non-coding RNA is filed under the name Gossypium raimondii (Peruvian cotton). Its description in RNAcentral is "long non-coding RNA (GRAI_LNC010906)". The record is from RNAcentral. Lineage: Eukaryota; Viridiplantae; Streptophyta; Magnoliopsida; Malvales; Malvaceae.